Molecule: ribosomal RNA, 1274 nt
Filed under: Salmonella enterica subsp. enterica serovar Enteritidis
Lineage: Bacteria; Pseudomonadati; Pseudomonadota; Gammaproteobacteria; Enterobacterales; Enterobacteriaceae
Description: partial 23S ribosomal RNA
Rfam family: Bacterial large subunit ribosomal RNA
Source: RNAcentral
GUACACGGUGGAUGCCCUGGCAGUCAGAGGCGAUGAAGGGCGUGCUAAUCUGCGAUAAGCGCCGGUAAGGUGAUAUGAACCGUUAUAACCGGCGAUACCCGAAUGGGGAAACCCAGUGUGACUCGUCACACUAUCAUUAACUGAAUCCAUAGGUUAAUGAGGCGAACCGGGGGAACUGAAACAUCUAAGUACCCCGAGGAAAAGAAAUCAACCGAGAUUCCCCCAGUAGCGGCGAGCGAACGGGGAGGAGCCCAGAGCCUGAAUCAGCAUGUGUGUUAGUGGAAGCGUCUGGAAAGGCGCGCGAUACAGGGUGACAGCCCCGUACACAAAAGCGCAUGUGCUGUGAGCUCGAUGAGUAGGGCGGGACACGUGGUAUCCUGUCUGAAUAUGGGGGGACCAUCCUCCAAGGCUAAAUACUCCUGACUGACCGAUAGUGAACCAGUACCGUGAGGGAAAGGCGAAAAGAACCCCGGCGAGGGGAGUGAAAAAGAACCUGAAACCGUGUACGUACAAGCAGUGGGAGCACCCUUUGGGUGUGACUGCGUACCUUUUGUAUAAUGGGUCAGCGACUUAUAUUCUGUAGCAAGGUUAACCGAAUAGGGGAGCCGGAGGGAAACCGAGUCUUAAUUGGGCGUUAAGUUGCAGGGUAUAGACCCGAAACCCGGUGAUCUAGCCAUGGGCAGGUUGAAGGUUGGGUAACACUAACUGGAGGACCGAACCGACUAAUGUUGAAAAAUUAGCGGAUGACCUGUGGCUGGGGGUGAAAGGCCAAUCAAACCGGGAGAUAGCUGGUUCUCCCCGAAAGCUAUUUAGGUAGCGCCUCGUGAAUUCAUCUCCGGGGGUAGAGCACUGUUUCGGCUAGGGGGCCAUCCCGGCUUACCAACCCGAUGCAAACUGCGAAUACCGGAGAAUGUUAUCACGGGAGACACACGGCGGGUGCUAACGUCCGUCGUGAAGAGGGAAACAACCCAGACCGCCAGCUAAGGUCCCAAAGUCAUGGUUAAGUGGGAAACGAUGUGGGAAGGCCCAGACAGCCAGGAUGUUGGCUUAGAAGCAGCCAUCAUUUAAAGAAAGCGUAAUAGCUCACUGGUCGAGUCGGCCUGCGCGGAAGAUGUAACGGGGCUAAACCAUGCACCGAAGCUGCGGCAGCGAACGUAUCACUUAAAGCGAUUCAGCGGGUUACGAUUGACGGAGCGAAGCGACGUCAAAGCGUAUACAAAGUCGAGUCGGUUUAAGGAUACGUUCGUUGGGUAGGGGAGCGUUCUGUAAGCCUG